RNAcentral lists this transfer RNA (84 nucleotides) under Candidatus Omnitrophota bacterium. RNAcentral's name for it is "Candidatus Omnitrophica bacterium (groundwater metagenome) tRNA-Leu". It matches the Rfam family "tRNA". Rfam says of the family: Transfer RNA (tRNA) molecules are approximately 80 nucleotides in length. Their secondary structure includes four short double-helical elements and three loops (D, anti-codon, and T loops). Lineage: Bacteria; Pseudomonadati; Candidatus Omnitrophota. The record is from RNAcentral.
GCCGGGGUGGUGAAACUGGCAAACACGCGGGCCUCAAAAGCCCGUGCCCGCAAGGGCUUGUGGGUUCAACUCCCACCCCCGGCA